CGCUCUCCCAACUGAGCUAUCCCCGCUUCAU
Molecule: small RNA, 31 nt
Filed under: Arabidopsis thaliana (thale cress)
Lineage: Eukaryota; Viridiplantae; Streptophyta; Magnoliopsida; Brassicales; Brassicaceae
Description: ATSL193050
Source: RNAcentral